Long non-coding RNA from Megalobrama amblycephala (Wuchang bream), 369 nucleotides. RefSeq lists it as uncharacterized. The transcript has 3 exons. The record is from RefSeq and is a predicted model, not a curated record. Lineage: Eukaryota; Metazoa; Chordata; Actinopteri; Cypriniformes; Xenocyprididae.
CUGGACAUCACUCACCUCUGUCACACAUGUUCAGACUCUGUCCACUGUUGUGGUCCUACUGAAGCUGUGAUCCGAUUGGUCCUCUCUGCUCUGGUGGGCGUGGCUACUGUCAUUAUUCUGGUUUAUGACAUCAGAUCCAGAAGAGCUGAACGAGAUCAAGCAGAGAUUCACACAUCAGGAAGUAUUGAAAUCUAAAGCAGAACGCUGAACUUUAAAGAUUCUUCAAGUGUGUUUUUGUCAUUAUAAAUAAUGAUGAUUAUUUGAGCUUCUCUCUUUCAGUGUCAUUUUAAAACUCUUAUGUGUAAGACUUUGUUUAUAUUUCUCUCUGAUACAAAAAAAUAAUGAAUGAAUAGACACAGAUCUCGCUUA